GAAAUGUGAUGAUCAUGAAAGAGCUGCUAACUCUUUCUCUAGCGGUUAAAAUCCGUUAACAUUUCU
Molecule: transfer RNA, 66 nt
Filed under: Heptageniidae sp. YW03BF02
Lineage: Eukaryota; Metazoa; Arthropoda; Insecta; Ephemeroptera; Heptageniidae
Description: tRNA-Ser
Source: RNAcentral